UCUUGGUAGGUGGUAGGGAUUUGGGAUCUUCCUCCGCAGAAGGUAACUCUGCUGGUGAGGAUAUCUCUAUGUUUUAACGAAGAGCAUUUAUCCCUCUUACAGGCUUGAAAAGAAGGUCAGAAUUCACGAUAAGUUUUGUUUUUCUUUCAAGUUUUGCCAGUAACGUCGGAGCUCAGUUAAACCAAGCACCAUUAGGGUGUGUUGAACGAGAUACCGCGCCAGCCCCCUCGGGGAGCCCGGCUGCCCACACGGCUGCGUUGGGGGCCGUGCCUGUGCCUCCCGCCGCUCCCCUCUCCGCUCUCCCAGCUCCCCGCUCUGCUCUCCCCGCUCUCCCCGCUCCGCUCUCCCCGCUCUCCCCGCUCCCUGCCGCGGAGCCCCGCGCCAGGCCCGGCCUGCUGGGGAGGAGCAGCGAGGGAAGGCAGCCAGAGUGCGCUAUGGGCCUGCGUGCCCGGUGGGACUGGGGGGAGGUGGAGCUGGCGGGAGCCGCCGCAGAGGAGCGGGGCCCUCAGAGCAGCUCCUCAUAACGUGAGGCGGCCGAAACUCUGCUCCCAACUGCGCCGUAGCCGCAUUCUCCUUGGCGUGGGAUGGGAAAUAGAAGUGCAUAUUAAGUCCCAUGUACUCCAGGAAAAAAACCCAACAGGAGUGUGUGCUGUUAUCCUGGGGACUGCUCUGAACUCUUACAGUUCUACACUAUGUGAAACACCUGUUAUUGUAAGCAUUGAUGAUACUGAAGAAAUAACAAGGCUCUAAGCACAGAAACCUGUGUUAAUAGUUUGCAGGUUAAAUAUAUAAAGGGAUGACUUGGCUAUGGGAACUUUCCCCUUCUUCAGGCAGUAUUUG
This 840-nucleotide long non-coding RNA is filed under the name Cyanistes caeruleus (blue tit). RNAcentral's name for it is "lncRNA (ENSCCEG00000022669.1)". Lineage: Eukaryota; Metazoa; Chordata; Aves; Passeriformes; Paridae. The record is from RNAcentral.